Molecule: long non-coding RNA, 347 nt
Filed under: Homo sapiens (human)
Lineage: Eukaryota; Metazoa; Chordata; Mammalia; Primates; Hominidae
Description: HSALNT0367936
Source: RNAcentral
GCACCCUAUAAUGGGAAGGAGGAAGCAGGUGAAUGAGGGGCAGGCUAAAACCCUGGAGCUCUUCCAGAAGAGCAGGAGACUCUGGGCCUCGGGCAGAGCCAGGCUCAGAGGGGCAGACACUCACCGGAGCGCCACGAGCACCAGCACUUCCUGCAGGACCAGGAGGUCCAACUUCUCCCUGAGGGUGGGGAAGGGAGGAAGAGCUGGGGUGCCAUAAGGGAACGGAAGCGAUCACAAGGGGCAGGAAUGUGGCAAAGCCACAGCUUUGUGGGACUCCCAGGCUACCACGAAGACCCCUACAGGAUGCAGCCUCACUUACUUUGGGACCAUCAGUGCCAGGAGUGCCG